Molecule: ribosomal RNA, 490 nt
Filed under: uncultured bacterium
Lineage: Bacteria
Description: partial 16S ribosomal RNA
Rfam family: Bacterial small subunit ribosomal RNA
Source: RNAcentral
GUUGAACGCUGGCGGCAGGCCUAACACAUGCAAGUCGAACGGUAACAGGAAGCGGCUUGCUGCUUCGCUGACGAGUGGCGGACGGGUGAGUCAUGUCUGGGACACUGCCUGAUGGAGGGGGUUAACUACUGGAAACGGUAGCUAAUACCGCAUAACGUCGCAAGCCCAAAGAGGGGGACCUUAGGGCCUCUUGCCAUCGGCUGUGCCCAGAUGGGAUUAGCUAGUAGGUGGGGUAACGGCUCACCUAGGCGACGAUCCCUAGCUGGUCUGAGAGGAUGACCGGCCACACUGGAACUGAGACACGGUCCAGACUCCUACGGGAGGCAGCAGUGGGGAAUACUGCACAAUGGGCGCAAGCCUGAUGCAGCCAUGCCGCGUGUGUGAAGAAGGCCUUCGGGUUGUAAAGUACUGUCAGCGGGGAGGAAGGGAGUAAAGUUAAUACCUUUGCUCAUUGACGUUACCCGCAGAAGAAGCACCGGCUAACUCCGUG